This 215-nucleotide unclassified non-coding RNA is filed under the name Hevea brasiliensis (rubber tree). The record is from RNAcentral. Lineage: Eukaryota; Viridiplantae; Streptophyta; Magnoliopsida; Malpighiales; Euphorbiaceae.
GGCGACGAUGGGGGAGAGAGCGCCAUUGGAGACGACAAGGACGGUGAUAGUCUGACGGCUGUUGAUCUCGUCAGCGAGUCUAGUCUGCUGCAGGUAGUUGCUGAAAUCGCUGUACUGAGGGUAGUCUUUGAGCAUGUCAGUAAUAUUGUGGGCGGAGACGAUGGCAGAAGCGGCGGCGAAGGCGAGGAAGAGGAGAAGGGAUUUGGAGGCCGCCA